RNAcentral lists this transfer RNA (73 nucleotides) under Acidobacteriota bacterium. Its description in RNAcentral is "Acidobacteria bacterium tRNA-Phe". It matches the Rfam family "tRNA". Rfam says of the family: Transfer RNA (tRNA) molecules are approximately 80 nucleotides in length. Their secondary structure includes four short double-helical elements and three loops (D, anti-codon, and T loops). The record is from RNAcentral. Lineage: Bacteria; Pseudomonadati; Acidobacteriota.
GGCCUGGUAGCUCAGCUGGUAGAGCAGCGGACUGAAAAUCCGCGUGUCGGCGGUUCAACUCCGUCCCAGGCCG